GCGCGAAACCUCUGCAAUAGGCGAAAGCCUGACAGGGUUACUCUGAGUGAUUCCCGCUAAGGGGAUCUUUUGGCACCUCUAAAAAUGGUGCAGAAUAAGGGGUGGGCAAGUCUGGUGUCAGCCGCCGCGGUAAUACCAGCACCCCGAGUGGUCGGGACGAUUAUUGGGCCUAAAGCAUCCGUAGCCGGUCAUGCAAGUCCUCCGUUAAAUCCACCUGCUUAACAGAUGGGCUGCGGAGGAUACUACAAGGCUAGGAGGCGGAAGAGGCAAGCGGUACUCAGUGGUAGGGGUAAAAUCCUCUGAUCCAUUGAAGACCACCAGUGGCGAAGGCGGCUUGCCAAUACGCGCUCGACGGUGAGGGAUGAAAGCUGGGGAGCAAACCGGAUUAGAUACCCGGGUAGUCCCAGCUGUAAACGAUGCAGACUCGGUGAUGGGCCGCUUUAUGCCGGCUCAGUGCCGCAGGGAAGCCGUUAAGUCUGCCGCCUGGGGGAUACGGUCGCAAGACUGUAAAACG
RNAcentral lists this ribosomal RNA (514 nucleotides) under uncultured archaeon. Its description in RNAcentral is "bacterial SSU rRNA". It matches the Rfam family "Archaeal small subunit ribosomal RNA", at positions 339 to 856 of the family's 1478-position model. The record is from RNAcentral.